This 529-nucleotide ribosomal RNA is filed under the name uncultured bacterium. RNAcentral describes it as "bacterial SSU rRNA". It matches the Rfam family "Bacterial small subunit ribosomal RNA", at positions 777 to 1304 of the family's 1533-position model. The record is from RNAcentral.
AAUAGAUACCCCGGUAGUCCACGCCGUAAACGAUGAGUGCUAAGUGUUAGAGGGUUUCCGCCCUUUAGUGCUGCAGCUAACGCAUUAAGCACUCCGCCUGGGGAGUACGGCCGCAAGGCUGAAACUCAAAGGAAUUGACGGGGGCCCGCACAAGCGGUGGAGCAUGUGGUUUAAUUCGAAGCAACGCGAAGAACCUUACCAGGUCUUGACAUCCUCUGCCAACCCUAGAGAUAGGGCGUUCCCCUUCGGGGGACAGAGUGACAGGUGGUGCAUGGUUGUCGUCAGCUCGUGUCGUGAGAUGUUGGGUUAAGUCCCGCAACGAGCGCAACCCUUGAUCUUAGUUGCCAUCAUUAAGUUGGGCACUCUAAGGUGACUGCCGGUGACAAACCGGAGGAAGGUGGGGAUGACGUCAAAUCAUCAUGCCCCUUAUGACCUGGGCUACACACGUGCUACAAUGGACGGUACAAAGAGCUGCAAGACCGCGAGGUGGAGCUAAUCUCAUAAAACCGUUCUCAGUUCGGAUUGUAGG